UGCAGAAGCCGCGGCACCCGCUGGGGAGGGGCCGGGGGCUGUCCGGGCAGAGCUGCUGCGGAGCCCCACCGACCUGGGCGAGUCCACCGACAGCUUGCGCACGCGGUCCUGCACGGAGCCCGUCAGCUGCAGUGGGGCAGGAAUCCCAGGCUGACUUGGGACACUCCGGGGCUUGGAACUGGGCUGGCACUGGAGGGAGGGUGCCCUGCCAUGGGAAUGGGGGACCCCCCUCCCCAGCACUGCCUCCAGCUCUGCUGGGAGAUGGUUUUUAGGAGAGCUGUUAAUUUAUGAGGAAGAGGAGGGAGAAUCGGGACAUCAUCGCUUCAUUGCUGGGAAUCAGACUCAGGACCUCUGUCUGGCCCCCUCAACUAGCCAGUUGUUAAAGGAGACAUUUAUAAAUAUUAUCUUCACUCUGGGUGGAAAGUGAGAGAUAGGGAAAGAAAGACAGAGAGAAGAGAUACACCACACCUGUGUCCCUUAGCUCAAGAAGCUUCUGCUGUAUAGGCCUUCCGUGUGCUACUCUGGGGCUCAUACCCAGGUCCCUGCCAUUUAUACUUUAAAAAAUGCCUUUAUUACCACCAGGGUUGACACUGGAGCUUGGUGCCUGCACAAUGAAGCCACUACUCUUGGUGGCUAUUAUUAUCAUUAUUACCAGCAUUGACAGAGACAGAGAAAUUGACAGGGGGCGUGGGAGAUAGGAAGGGAGAGUGAGAGUGAGAGUGAGAGUGAUUGAGAGAGAGAGAGAGAGAGAGACCUGCAGCACUGCUCACUGCUCAUGAAACUUCCUCCUGCAGUCUCAGGAUGGAACCGGAAGCCUCAGGCCUGCAAGUCCUGCACUCUACCUGCUGAGCUGUCUCUUCCGGGCAAGGAUGCCGUUUCCUUUGCAGUAUGUUGGAGCUCUCAGCAUAGCGGAAGCGCCCAUCAUGGUGUGCUGAAUACGGGGUCAGGCACCUCCUUUUUGAGGCCAAAGUACAAGAGGAGAAGGCCCCCGCACCCCACCCCCCAGACCCCACCUUGAGGGGCCCCAGCUGCAGACAGAGGCUGAGAAGGAAACUGUCUGGACAGGACUCUUUCUGUCUCCCAAACUUAUUAAAUGAGGUCACGGUGAGGUUUGGCAAGUGGCGAGAGCCUGGCGGGGCGGGUUCACCAACAGUCGGAAGCGUGGCGGCACACAGCCACACACACCGACGUUUCUGAGAGGUUGGCAGAUGACCACGGCGAGUCACACUGAGCCGCAGUGAAGAGAACGUGCAGAAAGUGUGUGGUGGGUCCCGGGAGGUGGACAGAGUGCUGGACUGUCACACAAAUGGUCUCCAGAAGUGCACAUUCCAGAGUGGAGCCCUGCUUCUUUCUCUCUCUCUCUUUUUCAACGAAUAAAUAUAUAUUAAAAGGUGUGCAUCUGCGGGUUGGGCAGUGGCGCAGUGGGUUAAGCGCACGUAGCACAAAGCACAGGGACCGGCGUAAGGAUCCCGGUUCGAGCCCCCAGCUCCCCACCUGCAGGGGAGUCGCUUCACAGGCGGUGAAGCAGGUCUGCAGGUGUCUGUCUGUCUCUCCCCCUCUCUGUCUUCCCCUCCUCUCUCCAUUUCUCUCUGUCCUAUCCAACAACAACAGCAUCAAUAGCAACAAAAACAAUAAUGACAACAAUGGCAACAAAAUAGGAGAAAAUGGCCUCCAGGAGCAGUGGGAUUCGUAGUGCAGGCACCGAGCCCCAGAGAUAACCCCAUGGAGGAAAAAAAAAAAAAGAGACUUAUUUGAUUCCUUUCACAUACAGUAGAAAGCUGGUUGGAGAGACAGACUGGGUAGGGCACACAUGGGUAUGUGCUGCUCCAGGGGUUGAACCUGCAGCCCCAGCCAUGCAAACCCUGUACUCUACCACAUGAGCCACCUGUCCCGGCAAAGAGUGUUUUACUUCCUCCCCUUUAAAACUACUUACUUAGAGGUCUGUGUGUACCCGUGCCCAUCGCGACACAAUGUGCA
Erinaceus europaeus (western European hedgehog) is the source of this 1977-nucleotide long non-coding RNA. RefSeq lists it as uncharacterized. The record is from RefSeq and is a predicted model, not a curated record. The transcript is spliced from 5 exons. NCBI's taxonomy places the organism in Eukaryota, Metazoa, Chordata, Mammalia, Eulipotyphla, Erinaceidae.